UUCUCAUCUGCUAGGACUUGGAAU
Molecule: non-coding RNA, 24 nt
Filed under: Arabidopsis thaliana (thale cress)
Lineage: Eukaryota; Viridiplantae; Streptophyta; Magnoliopsida; Brassicales; Brassicaceae
Source: RNAcentral